Molecule: long non-coding RNA, 472 nt
Filed under: Chrysemys picta bellii (western painted turtle)
Lineage: Eukaryota; Metazoa; Chordata; Testudines; Emydidae
Description: lncRNA (ENSCPBG00000023452.1)
Source: RNAcentral
CAGAGGUCAUUGAACGGAUCCAGGGGCUGGACAUCGAGACCCAGACUGCGCUGGCCGGUGCCAUCCAGGAGGUGACACAGGACCCGGGGGUGGUGCUGAGCCUGCAGUGGGGGGCACUGGCUGAACUGCACCCACUGGAGCUGACACGGGUCCUGCAGGAGCUGUCCUCCCGGCUGCGGGGCCUGGUGCAGGAGCGGGAUGCGAGUGCAGAGAGGCUGUGGGAGCUGCAGCAGGAGCGGGAGGUGUCGUCCCCGCAUGGCCCGCUGUCCCCUGAGGGGCCCUGGGACAAUCGCCAGCACCUUGGGGUGCAACUGGCUGACGCUCGGGGCCAGGCCCGGCGCCUGCGCCAGGAACUGUGAGUGGGUGGGGGGCACUGAUGGGAAUGGGGUGGUUCUGGGAUGGGAGAACAGUUCGGGGGGGAGGUCCUAGGGGUAUUAGGGGGCACAGAAGACAAGAGGGGGAUCCUGAGAUG